GGGAAGCGAAGCCGCGAGGUGGAGCCAAUCCCAGCAAAGCCGGUCUCAGUUCGGAUUGCAGGCUGCAACUCGCCUGCAUGAAGUCGGAAUUGCUAGUAAUCGCGGAUCAGCAUGCCGCGGUGAAUACGUUCCCGGGUCUUGUACACACCGCCCGUCACACCACGAGAGUUUACAACACCCGAAGUCGGUGGGGUAACCCGCAAGGGGGCCAGCCGCCGAAGGUGGGGUAGAUGAUUGGGGUGAAGUCGUAACAAGGUAGCCGUAUCGGAAGGUGCGGCUGGAUCACCUCCUUUCUAUGGGGA
RNAcentral lists this ribosomal RNA (302 nucleotides) under Paenibacillus sp. P32E. RNAcentral describes it as "partial 16S ribosomal RNA". It matches the Rfam family "Bacterial small subunit ribosomal RNA", at positions 1244 to 1533 of the family's 1533-position model. Lineage: Bacteria; Bacillati; Bacillota; Bacilli; Caryophanales; Paenibacillaceae. The record is from RNAcentral.